This 323-nucleotide ribosomal RNA is filed under the name uncultured bacterium. Its description in RNAcentral is "bacterial SSU rRNA". It matches the Rfam family "Bacterial small subunit ribosomal RNA", at positions 82 to 422 of the family's 1533-position model. The record is from RNAcentral.
UAGCAAUACGGGAGUGGCAGACGGGUGAGUAACGCGUGGGAACAUACCCUCCGGUUCGGAAUAACUCAGGGAAACUUGAGCUAAUACCGGAUACGGCCGGGAGGCGAAAGAUUCAUCGCCGGAGGAUUGGCCCGCGUUCGAUUAGCUAGUUGGUGAGGUAACGGCUCACCAAGGCGACGAUCGAUAGCUGGUCUGAGAGGAUGAUCAGCCACAUUGGGACUGAGACACGGCCCAAACUCCUACGGGAGGCAGCAGUGGGGAAUAUUGGACAAUGGGCGCAAGCCUGAUCCAGCCAUGCCGCGUGAGUGAUGACGGCCUUAGGG